Molecule: ribosomal RNA, 770 nt
Filed under: uncultured Alphaproteobacteria bacterium
Lineage: Bacteria; Pseudomonadati; Pseudomonadota; Alphaproteobacteria
Description: bacterial SSU rRNA
Rfam family: Bacterial small subunit ribosomal RNA
Source: RNAcentral
AUCUGCCUUUUGGUUUGGAAUAACACGGGGAAACUUGUGCUAAUACCGGAUAAGCCUUUACAGGGAAAGUUUUAACGCCAAAAGAUGAGCCCAUACUUGAUUAGCUAGUUGGUAAGGUAAUGGCUUACCAAGGCUACGAUCAAUAGCUGAUCUGAGAGGAUGAUCGGCCACAUUGGGACUGAGACACGGCCCAAACUCCUACGGGAGGCAGCAGUGGGGAAUCUUGCACAAUGGGGGAAACCUUGAUGCAGCGAUGCCGCGUGAGUGAAGAAGGCCUUUGGGUUGUAAAGCUCUUUCGUCGGGGAAGAAAAUGACUGUACCCGAAUAAGAAGGUCCGGCUAACUUCGUGCCAGCAGCCGCGGUAAUACGAAGGGACCUAGCGUAGUUCGGAAUUACUGGGCUUAAAGAGCUCGUAGGUGGUUAAGAAAGUUGGUGGUGAAAUCCCAAGGCUUAACCUUGGAACUGCCACCAAAACUUUUUGACUAGAGUAUGAUAGAGGUAAGUGGAAUUUCUAGUGUAGAGGUGAAAUUCGUAGAUAUUAGAAAGAACACCAAUUGCGAAGGCAACUUUCUGGAUCAUUACUGACACUGAGGAGCGAAAGCAUGGGUAGCGAAGAGGAUUAGAUACCCUCGUAGUCCAUGCCGUAAACGAUGUGUGCUAGACGUUGGAAAUUUAUUUUUCAGUGUCGCAGCAAAAGCAUUAAGCACACCGCCUGGGGGAGUACGACCGCAAGGUUAAAACUCAAAUGAAUUGACGGGGACCCGCACAAG